UAGGGAAUAUUGCAAAAUGGGCGAAAGCCCGAUGCAGCGACGCCGCGUGGGCGAUGAAGGCCUUCGGGUCGUAAAGCCCUUUUUGAGGGGAUGAGGAAGGACAGUACCCUCAGAAUAAGCCUCGGCUAACUACGUGCCAGCAGCCGCGGUAAAACGUAGGAGGCGAGCGUUAUCCGGAUUUACUGGGCGUAAAGCGCGUGCAGGCGGAUUGGAGAGUUGGAUGUGAAAGCUCCCGGCUUAACUGGGAGAGGUCGUUCAAUACUUCCAGGCUUGAGUGCAGUAGAGGGCAGUGGAAUUCCGGGUGUAGUGGUGAAAUGCGUAGAUAUCCGGAGGAACACCAGUGGCGAAAGCGGCUUCCUGGACUGUAACUGACGCUCAGACGCGAAAGCUAGGGUAGCAAACG
This 403-nucleotide ribosomal RNA is filed under the name uncultured bacterium. RNAcentral describes it as "bacterial SSU rRNA". It matches the Rfam family "Bacterial small subunit ribosomal RNA", at positions 355 to 774 of the family's 1533-position model. The record is from RNAcentral.